GCAUACUGUAAGUGCUCUUUGU
RNAcentral lists this microRNA (22 nucleotides) under Oreochromis niloticus (Nile tilapia). Its description in RNAcentral is "oni-miR-10879". The record is from miRBase by way of RNAcentral. Lineage: Eukaryota; Metazoa; Chordata; Actinopteri; Cichliformes; Cichlidae.